UAAUAAUGUUAACCAUGUUCAAGAGGCUUUGAUCUCACAGCAAGACAAUGUUAAUAGUGAGAUGAAGAUUUUUUUUAUAUAAAAGAGGGGAGGACACCCCAGAAGACCAGCACUCGAAAAGGAGAGGAGAUGACUCUCGUAAGAGCAAGACCUAGAAUAUCCCAGCCGAUCAACUCCAACGUAUCAGGUGAAGAAAAAUAGUGAACACCCAAAAAAGAAGCAAUAGCUAUAUUAGCCAAUUUGUCGACUACUCGGUUGGCCUCUCUAUCAAUAUGAUGCAAACGCACCUCCCACUGCCACCUAAGAAAACUACGACACUGUUAAAUAAGAUUAGAAUACUGCAAAUUAGCCUCAUCAUCAUUUGAAAGUAGCCGCAAGACAGACUUGGAAUCUAGCUUAAUAAUCAACUUACACACGCCCAUAUGUAAGCUUCAUCCCUUGCAGCAGAGCUUGAAACUCAUCCUGCAUUGAGGUACAUGUGCCCAACUGAAUACAAAACCCAGCCAAAUAGAAUCCUCUGUGGUCCCCAAGAACACCACUCCGACCAAAUUACCCUUCGACACACCAUUUGAGUCAGCUUAAUUCAUCCUUCAUCGGGAGGCAACCAUCUUACAGAAAUCACAGUCUUCAAUGAGGACGCAGAGGACAUAGAAAUAGCCCAAAGCCAAAGAAGACAGAACCUGAGAUUUGAGGAUGUUGAAGACAGAAGUGGACUCAAUACCCUGAAAAACAGACUCAUAGCGCCAACGUCAUAGCCACCAUAAAGCAAUACCGAGAACUUGAUCAGAUGAAAGCAUCAAAGACCCUACUAGGAAUUAAUUCCUUCUGAUACAAAAACCAAUCAACCAUAGACAUCCUGCGGAACUUCACUAGGGAGUCAGCAUCCCACACCAUACUCUAUAUGAUUUUAGCAUUACCACUUAAAAAUAUGAGUAAGAAAUUCAUCCGCAGCCCCACGAAGGACACAAACUAGGGUCAUUGGUAAACCUUCUUUUGUCUUUUAUUGUUAGACAUCAAUUUGCCAUGAAACAAAGUCCAAAAGAACAUCUUAAUUUUCUGGGCAGCCUUAAUUUUCCAAAUCGCCUGUCAAACAGAGAGAGACAGAAUAACAUCACAUUGCAAAGAAUAAACAGAACUCACGAAAAGUUACCAUCCUUCACCUCCUUCCAUCCAAGCUGAUCAUGGGACGGAGAUCUAAUUUCAUGGUUUUAGGCCAAAAGCAUUGGGCUUCUUUUGUAUUGUUAUUACUCCUUGUAAUAGCAAACCAACAUAAAAUUGCUACGAAAUACCAACAUAAAAUUGCUACGAAAUACAAACCCAAUCAGAAACUACAGUACGGGCGAUCUUAUCUACGACUAGCCCGGCCAACUUCAAUUUAGAAUCAAUCUGAAAUCAAUAAUUCUGAUUUAUUAGGGGUAAAAAGUAAAGACCUGAAUCAAUCCUUAAAGUUCUUUCACUUCAAGAAUUCAAUUUUGAUUUCAAUUUUAUUUUCAAUUCAUUCUAGUUUAAUUUGAUUUAUUUCAAUUUUAAUUUCAAUUUAUUCUAGUUUAAUUUGAUUUAAAUAGGCCGUUCCGAUACAACAGCAUGGUAAAACCUAAAAAUACCUUGUAUGAAUUACUUAUUACAAGAAGCAUACAUGAAAAACUUAUAAUUACUUGCUUAUGAUACUAGGUAUUGUUAAGGCAAAUAACCUAAAACAAAACUGUGUUUAACCAGGCGAUUCCUAUUAAACAAUUUAUAUUCUGAUUAGUCAAAAGACUCGUCUAGCAGGUACCGUUCGAUAGUGUUUUGGGUUUGCUAUUUGCUUGAUUCUGGAAUAAAGAACUGAAGGUCUGCUUUUACUUGUUACAAACAUAACACUUGAAUAAAGAUUAAUCGUGGAAUCCAGGACGAACCAAAACAAGCUAGUGAGAAGAGGUUCUAUAGCACUUCAUAAAUAACAAGUUUCAUCGUAAGGUUAUUAAUCACUCAAAUUAAAUUGAUUGCAAAAAAAAAAAUAAAAUAAAAUAAUGCAUACUUAUAGUCUUAAGAACCUAACAAGAAAUUAACACAAAACUCUUGGCUCUAUAUUCCCAUCUUCAAUACUCAGGAAUGGUUUCUCUGCAUCAAGCUUCAACUCUCUCUGCAUCUUCAAUUAGGACUUUAGUUGGUUUCCCCAAUAGAUCAGUGUACUCCUGGAAAGGCGACUUGGUGAAGCGGGUCUCCCUCCAAAAGUCAGGAGUCAAGAAUCCAUAGGUCUUCAAAAGACAAUCAAAGGUGGCCUGCAUUUUACAUGGCAUGCACGUGAAUUAAACCAACAAAGAACAACAGAAUAAAGAGUGUAAUUAUCCAAAAAAGAAGCAUCACAGCAUUUAUCAUUGUUAAACAAUACCUAGACCAACACACACACACAGACACACACAAAGUGAAUUUUUUACAUCAGCAAGAUAGGAAUAUUUAUUACUUCCAUAAAAAGACUCAUGUUUAACUAUUAACAACACAGUUAUCCAGCAAUGGACAUUCAUAACCAUCUAGCAAACAAAUACUGUCUACUAGUAGUGUGGAAAUCCUAUUCCUAUAUAACAAAUUCACAAAGAUAGUAUCAUUUGUUUGAAAUUGGCUACAUAUAAGCUACUAUUGGGUUAUGGCAAGAGAGGCAUAAUUCAGGAUCACAUUGAAGUCAUGUGAGCAUUUCAAACCAAUCAAGCAUAGCAAUUAAGGAACAUUCAAAUCAUCCACAAACAGUUAAUAGACCCUAAUUUAACUAAAAAAUGACUAAGAUUUCAAAGCUCCUUUCUUUUAACAUGCAAACAAGAACAUAAAAUUUCAGAACUUCUAGCGAUUUUCAGGAAUUGAAUGGAUGACUGUUACAUUAUUAACACAAGCUCACAUAAUAACAGAACAGGCCAAGAUACACUGAGAAAACAUUGAACAAUUUAAAAGCAUAUGUAUCAUUACAAAUUAGAAGACAACGUAUUAAGACACACUAACUCCACACAAAAUCACAAUGUGCUGAUAUCAGAAUGUUAGCCUAAUAUGCAUAUACAAUCUUCAAUAAGCGAUCAAUCAAUGAGGCAAUAUAUAAUGCUAAACCAAAUAAUCAAGUUCAGAUGACAAAAAUUCAAUAAACAUGUUAAAAUAGAUUAAUUGUAAAGCUCUGAAUUCCACAUAAUGAAUAUAAAGAAAUAGUUGAACAGACCUUAACGAAAUUCCCGAGUGUCUUCGUGGAACCCCUGGAGGAGGUGAACACAUCCUCUAUCCCAGCAAACUGCAGAACCUUCUUGGGGACCCGAGCAGCGACUAUCCCGGCACCACGUGGAGCCGGUACCAUUCUCACUGUCACGGAUCCACACUUGCCAGUGACCUUACAGGGCACAGUGUGUGGCUUUCCGAUCUUGUUACCCCAAUAACCUCUUCUCACGGGGAUAACAGAUAACUUGGCCAAUAUGAUGGCACCGCGAAUGGCAGUAGCAACCUCCUUCGAGCACUUAACUCCCAAACCGACGUGGCCAUUCCCGUCGCCUACGACGACAAAGGCCUUGAAUCGGGUUCGCUGCCCAGCCCGAGUUUGUUUCUGGACAGGGGUGAUUUUCAUGACCUCAUCCUUGAGGGAUGGACCGACGAGAGUGUCGAUGAUCUGGUGCUCCUUGAUCGGAAGAGAAUGCAGGUAAAUUUGCUCUAGACUUCUGAUCUUGCCAUCCUUCACCAAGCGGCCCAGUUUGGUUACUGGAACCCACUUCUCCUCCUCGUCACGGCGCGCACGACGGCGGCCUCUGCCUCCGCGAUCGCCACGAGAUGGACCGCCGAAGCCGCGGCGAAAAGCUCCCCUUUCUCCUGCGCCUCUGUCAGCCAUGGUUACAGUUAAGCUUAGAUUUGAGAAAGGAAAAACAAAAAAAAGGGUCUAAGG
This 3886-nucleotide unclassified non-coding RNA is filed under the name Hevea brasiliensis (rubber tree). The record is from RNAcentral. Lineage: Eukaryota; Viridiplantae; Streptophyta; Magnoliopsida; Malpighiales; Euphorbiaceae.